GUACUACUCUCAGAGUUUGAUCCUGGCUCAGGACGAACGCUGGCGGCGUGCCUAACACAUGCAAGUCGAGCGGAGACAUUGGCUUCGGUUAAUGUUUUAGCGGCGGACGGGUGAGUAACGCGUGAGCAACCUUUCUCUCAGUGGGGAAUAACACAGGGAAACUUGUACUAAUACCGCAUGAGACCACAUUGUCGCAUGGCAAAGGGGUCAAAGAUUAAUCGCUGAGAGGUGGGCUCGCGUCUGAUUAGAUAGUUGGUGGGGUAACGGCCUACCAAGUCGACGAUCAGUAGCCGACCUGAGAGGGUGAUCGGCCACAUUGGGACUGAGACACGGCCCAA
RNAcentral lists this ribosomal RNA (338 nucleotides) under uncultured bacterium. RNAcentral describes it as "bacterial SSU rRNA". It matches the Rfam family "Bacterial small subunit ribosomal RNA", at positions 1 to 334 of the family's 1533-position model. The record is from RNAcentral.